AUUAUAUGCUUGUCUUAAAGAUUAAGCCAUGCAAAUGUAAGAACCGAUAUAUAUUUAAUUAUCAAUCUGUGAACGGCUCAUUAAAAGAGUUAUAAACUUAGCCACUAGGAAAAUUUAAAAGGAUAACACCGUCAAAUGCAGCGCUAAUACUUGAAAGAAUAAUAAUACUUCAUUGAAAUGAUAUUAUUAUAAAAGCUAUUCAUGCUUCGGGAUGAAUAGUAUAUUGACCAUUGAUCUAAAGGUACUGUAAUUUGAGAGUGUAAUAAACUUGUGAGUGAAAGUGCUUUGUUUCUGGUGGCCUAGUAGAAGUGUUUCUUACCUAUCAGCUUAAGUUGUUUAUGUAAAGGAUAAACAAGGCUUUAACGGGUACGGGGAAUUAGUGUUUGAUUCCGGAGAGGGGGCCUUAAAAAUCGCUACCACAUCUAAGGACGGCAGCAGGCGCGAAAAUUACCCAAUUUUAAUACAAAGAGGUAGUGACAAGUUAUAAUGACUUUGCACUUUUAAAGUGUGAAGGUACCGUCUCUUUUGAUGGCUUAUCAUGAUUUAGGUCUAAAAAUUCUUUUGAGAAGCAAUUGGAGGAAAAGUCUGGUGCCAGCACCCGCGGUAAUACCAGCUCCAAUAGUGUAUAUUAAUACUGCUGUAGUUAAAACGCCCGUAAUCGAUCUAAGGAUUCGCUAUAUGAAAACUUGGUAGAUUACUGUUUGAAGGUGUCGGCUUUAUUAGCUGAUUAACCUGAUAAUGAGGCUACUAUUUUGCUAGUCUCUUUUAGAGAUAGGCAGUUGUCAUGUAGUGAAUUCGAACCUCUCCAAGUUUUUAAUUUGGAGUGGCCAUUGUAUAUUAAUGGAGCAACUGUGAGUAAAUCAUAAUGAUUAAAGUAGGCUAUGUUUAAAUUGCCUGUAUGUAAAAGCAUGGGAUUGUAUUAUAACUGUUCACACCUGGCUUUGUGCCUAUUGCGCACAAUGUUUAGGUGUGGAUGGUGUUUGUAAUGAGGUUCUGGGAGAGGUUCCUAGUACCAUGUAGAUAGGGGUGAAAUCCAAUUACCUACAUGUGUCUAUCUGAUGCGAAAGCUGUAGUGAGCCACCACGAACCUAUCGAUGAGGGACGAAAGUUAGGGGAUCGAAGAUGAUUAGAUACCGUCGUAGUCCUGACCAUAAACGAUACCGACAUAGAAUUGGAUAUGAAACCUUUAUGCAGAUCUCUUCAGAACUAAAGAGAAAUUGAGUCUUUGGGUUCUGGGGGGAGUAUGGUCGCAAGUCUGAAACUUAAAGGAAUUGACGGAAAGGCACCACCAGGAGUGGAGUUUGCGGUUUAAUUCGACUCAACGCGGGAAAACUCACCAGAUCAGGACAAAUGUAUGAUUGACAGGUUAAAAAUCCUUUCUUGAUUAUUUGGAAGGUGGUGCAUGGCCGUUUGCAGUUCGUGGAGUGAUCUGUCUAGUUAAUUCUGAUAACGAACGAGAUUCAAACUUUUAACUAGCUGUAUUUGUUUCAUUCGUGAAAUAAUACAAAAUAAGCUUAUUAAAAGGACUAAAGUCACCUUAGACUAAGGAAGUUUUGGGUUAUAACAGGUCUGUGAUGCUCUUAGAUGUUCUGGGCCACACGCGUACUACAAUAAUAGUAGCAAUAAGCUUAGUAAAUAUUUUUAAUGUUUACUCCUUUAUUUCUAACAGGUAUGGGGAAACUUUUAAGCAAUAUUAUGACUGGGAUAAAACUUUGUAAAAAGUUUUUGGACGAGGAAUUCCUAGUAAUCACGAGUCAUCAUCUCGUAUUGAUUACGUCCCUGCCUUUUGUACACACCGCCCGUCGCUCCUACCGAUUGAAUGAAGAGAUGAAUCUGAUGGACUUUGAUUUUUAUGUUGUAAGACAUUUAUUUUCUGGGAAAUUAGCUGAAUCCCUUUGUUUGUAGGAAGGAAAAGUCGUAACAAGGUCUUC
RNAcentral lists this ribosomal RNA (1931 nucleotides) under Tulamoeba bucina. RNAcentral describes it as "bacterial SSU rRNA". It matches the Rfam family "Eukaryotic small subunit ribosomal RNA". Lineage: Eukaryota; Heterolobosea; Eutetramitea; Acrasida; Tulamoebidae. The record is from RNAcentral.